GGGAAACAUGGAGGCCAGUUGGGAACACUGCUGCCCAGUCUGGUGUCUUUCUGCAUGGAGUUCUCCCUGUGAUCACUGGGUUUCUCUCCAGCGCUGCUGACAGAGACGUGGCUGAACGGCUCGUCUGCUCCGGGACAACAGGAUGAGUCACACAGAUAAACGUUGCAUAACAAGGAUCAUGUCCAAAUCUGCAGGAUGAAGGGGGAACAGGAACAGCAGGAAGUCUUCCUGAGGGCUAAACGGUUCCAAACUGGGCCAGUUCGCUCAGCUCCACGUCU
Long non-coding RNA from Xiphophorus maculatus (southern platyfish), 278 nucleotides. RefSeq lists it as uncharacterized. The record is from RefSeq and is a predicted model, not a curated record. Lineage: Eukaryota; Metazoa; Chordata; Actinopteri; Cyprinodontiformes; Poeciliidae. The transcript is spliced from 3 exons.